AUGUCUUUGUUUAAAGCCCAUGAUUGGUGGUCUACUGUUCUGGGAGAAAAAGAAGAAUUUGAUCAAGGCUGUUUGUGUUUGGCUGAUGUUGACAAUAGUGGAAAUGGCCAAGAUAAAAUAAUUGUGGGUAGCUUUAUGGGAUACCUAAGAAUCUUUAACCCCCAUCCUGUAAAAACAGGAGAUGGAUCUCAAGCUGAAGAUUUGCUUCUAGAAGUGCAUCUACGAGAUCCAAUACUUCAAGUGGAAGUAGGAAAAUUUCUUUCAGGUACUGAAAUGCUUUAUUUGGCUGUGUUGCAUUCUAGAAAACUUUGUGUCUACUCUGUCUCAGGAACUUUGGGUAAUGUGGAACAUGGGAACCAAUAUCAGAUCAAAUUGAUGUAUGAACAUAAUCUUCAGAGAACAGCCUGCAAUAUGACUUAUGGAUCAUUUGGUGGUGU
Cynocephalus volans (Philippine flying lemur) is the source of this 437-nucleotide long non-coding RNA. RefSeq lists it as uncharacterized. NCBI's taxonomy places the organism in Eukaryota, Metazoa, Chordata, Mammalia, Dermoptera, Cynocephalidae. The transcript has 4 exons. The record is from RefSeq and is a predicted model, not a curated record.